GAUUAUAAUUAUUGGCUUCAUGCUAUAUAUAGACGAUAGCCCUCAACAACAUGAUUGGAUUAUUUCUCGAAUUUGGAGCAUGAUAAAUCCCAUCCAUUUAAUCCAUUCAAGACCUACUUGAAUUGAUCUAUUCAGCAAUUGAAUUAUAUGAGUGAAGCCAAAUUAUCUCUCAUAAAAAGAUCAGGUUCGGAUUAGAUUUUUUUCCUAUUUAAUAAAUAGGGGAUUCAUUUGGUUUGCAAGAAGAAGAGGGG
RNAcentral lists this long non-coding RNA (251 nucleotides) under Elaeis guineensis (African oil palm). RNAcentral describes it as "long non-coding RNA (EGUI_LNC031266)". Lineage: Eukaryota; Viridiplantae; Streptophyta; Magnoliopsida; Arecales; Arecaceae. The record is from RNAcentral.